This 253-nucleotide ribosomal RNA is filed under the name uncultured bacterium. Its description in RNAcentral is "partial 16S ribosomal RNA". It matches the Rfam family "Bacterial small subunit ribosomal RNA", at positions 524 to 776 of the family's 1533-position model. The record is from RNAcentral.
GACGAACCGUCCUAACGUUGUUCGGAAUCACUGGGCUUAAAGGGCGCGUAGGCGGGCAUGCAAGUCCGGGGUGAAAGCUUUCGGCUUAACCGGAAAAGGGCCUUGGAUACUGCAUGUCUAGAGGGAGGUAGGGGUCUGUGGAACUUCGGGUGGAGAGGUGAAAUGCGUUGAUAUCCGAAGGAACGCCGGUGGCGAAAGCGACGGACUGGACCUCUUCUGACGCUGAGGCGCGAAAGCCAGGGGAGCAAACGGG